UACGAAGGGUGCGAGCGUUAUUCGGAAUCAUUGGGCGUAAAGGGUGUGUAGGCGGCAUGAUAAGUCAACUGUUAAAGACCCCGGCCUAACUGGGGAAAUGCGGUAGAUACUGUCUGUGCUAGAGAGUGGAAGAGAGAAGUGGAAUUCUUGGAGUAGCGGUAAAAUGCGUAGAUCUCAAGAGGAACACCGAUGGCGAAGGCAGCUUCUUGGUCCAUUUCUGACGCUAAUGCACGAAAGCGUGGGGAGCAAACAGG
Molecule: unclassified non-coding RNA, 254 nt
Filed under: uncultured bacterium
Lineage: Bacteria
Description: contains 16S-23S intergenic spacer region
Rfam family: Bacterial small subunit ribosomal RNA
Source: RNAcentral